GCUAAGAUGUAGCCUUUAUCUGCAUUUGCACCUGCACCUUCUUGUUUAAUUCUCUGCUUCAGAAGCCAAAUGUGUUUGUUUGUGAUGUUGAUGAAAAUAGAAUAGGACUAAAACAAAAAAUAAUAAUAAGGUGCAGGUGCAGGCGCAGCUGAAUGCCAUUUUGGC
Non-coding RNA from Gossypium arboreum, 165 nucleotides. The record is from Rfam. Lineage: Eukaryota; Viridiplantae; Streptophyta; Magnoliopsida; Malvales; Malvaceae.